UACGUAGGUGGCAAGCGUUAUCCGGAAUUAUUGGGCGUAAAGAGCGCGCAGGUGGUUGAUUAAGUCUGAUGUGAAAGCCCACGGCUUAACCGUGGAGGGUCAUUGGAAACUGGUCGACUUGAGUGCAGAAGAGGGAAGUGGAAUUCCAUGUGUAGCGGUGAAAUGCGUAGAGAUAUGGAGGAACACCAGUGGCGAAGGCGGCUUCCUGGUCUGUAACUGACGCUGAGGCUCGAAAGCGUGGGGAGCAAACAGGAUUAGAUACCCCCGUA
RNAcentral lists this ribosomal RNA (269 nucleotides) under uncultured prokaryote. RNAcentral describes it as "partial 16S ribosomal RNA". It matches the Rfam family "Bacterial small subunit ribosomal RNA", at positions 524 to 792 of the family's 1533-position model. The record is from RNAcentral.